GACGAACGCUGGCGGCGUGCUUCAUACAUGCAAGUCGAACGAGAAGCUGACUUCGGUCAGUGGACAGUGGCGGACGGGUGAGUAAUAUGUAGGAAAUCUGCCUUUAGGAGGGGGACAACAGAGGGAAACUUCUGCUAAUACCCCAUAUGAGCGUAGCUGAAAUGCUAUUCUUGAAAACUCCGGUGCCUAAAGAUGAGCCUGCAUCUGAUUAGCUAGUUGGUAGUGUAAUGGACUACCAAGGCGACGAUCAGUAGCUGGUUUGAGAGGAUGAUCAGCCACAAUGGGACUGAGACACGGCCCAUACUCCUACGGGAGGCAGCAGUAGGGAAGUUUGCGCAAUGGGCGAAAGCCUGACGCAGCAACGCCGCGUGAACGAUUAAGCCCUUCGGGGUGUAAAGUUCUGUCAGUGGGGACGAAACUUGACGGUACCCACAGAGGAAGCACCGGCUAACUCCGUG
RNAcentral lists this ribosomal RNA (458 nucleotides) under uncultured bacterium. RNAcentral describes it as "partial 16S ribosomal RNA". It matches the Rfam family "Bacterial small subunit ribosomal RNA", at positions 28 to 507 of the family's 1533-position model. The record is from RNAcentral.